Mirounga angustirostris (Northern elephant seal) is the source of this 550-nucleotide long non-coding RNA. RefSeq lists it as uncharacterized. NCBI's taxonomy places the organism in Eukaryota, Metazoa, Chordata, Mammalia, Carnivora, Phocidae. The record is from RefSeq and is a predicted model, not a curated record. The transcript is spliced from 3 exons.
AAGAAACCAAGAUCAGCUACAUAGUUUGUGGGACUCGGGGCAAAAUGAAAAUGAAAAUUAUGAGGAAUGGUCAAGAUGAUCACAGCAGAGCACUACAUCAAACACAAUCACACAGGACUCAUGAAACAGGCCCUGGAGGAAACCAGGGGCCAGAGAAGGCUCCUCACCUGUCUCAUCCUUCCAUCUCAGAGGUAACCAGGGUCCUGAAUGUUGUGUCUCCCGAUUGCCAGUUUUCAGGUUUUUCAAGAAAAGCAGCCGUUCUGAAGCGGACCCAAGAGUGAGAAAAUUUUGGUCAGUUACCAAAGAUAAAGGUGGGAGAUAUUUGUUAUAUGUGAAAAGCACUGAUGCUAAUGAUGUGGUUGAGUUAAAUCGUAUUUGUGUCUCUAGGGCUGCCCUUGAUUUGCCAAAAUCUUACUGCCAUGGUAUUUCUAUAGAUCACACAAAAAUGUAUUUAUUCAACACAUUUAUUGAGUGCUUACUAUGCCCAGGCUGGGGUUCUAAGAGCUGGGUAUAUGGCAUGACUAAAAGAGAAAAAUCCCUGUUCUCAGCU